UUUUUUUUUUUUUUGUGUUGAUUUCUUGAUCUUUCUAACCAUCUUCUUGGAAAUCUUUGAAGCUUUCGACUAGGAAACACCACUUCCAAGUGUUCUUUUAGUUUCGUCUUUCUCCAAAGACUGUACCUAAGGCCUGCAAAACUUCCCUCUUUUUGUUAUUUCUUGGUCCCUGGUUUCUUACUCUCUCUCUCUCUUCUUUUGCUUCCGUUUCAGUUCAACAUGUCUUUUCUUUAGCGUGGGUGGAUUUUUUUUUUUUAAUCUUUGAUGCACCUUUAACUAUCUUUCUGGAAAUCUCGAAACCUUCCAACGAGGAAACAUCACUGCUGAGCUUAUCUUUUUACUUCAUCCUCCUUUCUUUAAAUAUGUUCCAAAGAUUGCAUGAGAGAGCCUGCAAAACUUUUCUCCUUUUUUUUUUUUUGAUAUUUCUGUGUCCCUGGUUUCUCACUCUCUCUCUUUUCCUCUUCUUUUUCAGCUCAAGAUGUCUUUUCUUUGGGUGUGUGUGUGUGGAUUUCUUGAUCUUUGGUGUUUGGUGUAUCUUUAACACCAUCCUUUUGGAAAUCUUUGAAACUUCCAACUGGGAGAACACCAUUGGGUAAUUUUUGUUUUCAGUUCUUUACCCUUUGUUUUUCCUAUAAUUCUUGAUCCUUGUUUGAUGUAGCUACAACUUAGUUUAUUUUGGGAAAUGCUUCAGUGAGAUCUUUGUGAUUUAUUAUGAACAACAAAGAAUGGGUCAAUCUAAGAUGAUGAACUAGUUGUUGGAAGUAAACUUGUUCAAGUAUCCUAAAGAGGUUCAUUUCAUCAAAAGAAAGAUUCAUUGUAUCAAGAGAGAUUCAUUACAUCAAGAAGAAAAAAUAAAUUAAAAAUCUAUAAAAGGAUAAGUCAAAUUGGUUAUUGGUUCUUGAAAGAGUUUCUUGAAAGAGAAUGAUUCAUCUUGAAUAUAAUUAAUGUAAUGUAUCUUUGGGGACUAUAUAAACCUCAUAUGUUAGGUCAUGAGAGAAAGAGAGAGUUUCUGAAAUUGUAAAGUGUUUUUUUUAAGAAAAAUAUAGAAGAUUGAAGCUUGUCCUACUCUUUUUCUGUUUGAUAACUCCAUCUCCUCUUCCUAUCAACAUUAACAUUUGGUAUCAGAGCAUAGGUUAAGUUAUGACCUCUUUAUCAAGUGUCAUCCAACUCCAGAUCUCCAGAUUGAUAAAAGAAAAUUAUGACAUAUGGUGCAUCCAAAUGAAGGUUUUUCUAGGCUCCCAAGAUGUAUGGGAGUUUGUAGAAGAUAGAUUUGCUGAACCAAGUCCAGCAGAAGAAGGAGCAAUGAGUGUAGAAGGAAGAAAACAACUCAAAGAAAGAAGGAAGAAGAAGAAAAAAAGCUUUGUUCACAAUCUACCAAGGGCUUGAUGAUACAAUAUUCGAGAUCAUCGCUCCAACAAAUACUUCAAAGGAGGCCUGGAAAAUGCUUCAAAAAGCAUUCGGUGGUGUUGAUAAGGUAAAGAAACUUCGUCUACAAAUUUUAUGAGUCGAGUUUAAAAAAUUACAACAAGGUACUUCUGAAACUAUUUUUGAUUACUUCUCAAAAAUCAUUUCUAUUGUUCAUCAAAUAAGAUGAAAUGAUGAACAAGUAAAAGAUCAGAGAGUAAUAGAAAAAAUAUUGAGAUCUCUAGAUCCGAAAUUUGAUUUUAUUGCUGUUGCGAUCGAAGAAUCUAAAGAUUUGGAAAAAAUGUCUUUAGAAGAACUUAUGGGUUCCUUUCAAGUUCAUGAACAAAGAAUUACAAAAAAAAGGAGAAGACAAAACUAUGAAGUAGGCACUACAAGCUAAGUUUGCUCUUGAAAAUAAAGGAGAAUCAAAUUCUCAAAGAGGAAGAGGACUAGGACAAAGAGGAAGAGGAGGCAGAAAUCAAACAAAUAAAGAAUCUCCAAAUAAUGAAGAUGCUAGAGAAAAUUCUAGCCAAAGAGGUCGAGGUUAUGGCCGAGGCCGUGGACGUGAUAGAAACUUUAAAAGGUCUGAAAUACAAUGCUAUGUUUGUAAAAGGUAUGAACAUUACUCUUAUGAAUGUUAUUAUAAUCCUAACAAUCAAGGUGAUAAGGUAAAUUUUGUUGAGGAAGAAAAAAACGAAAAUCAAGUUUUGCUAAUGAGUUAUGAUAAUUUGAAAGAGGAUCAGUCUAUGAUAUGAUUUCUAGAUACAGGAGCCUCAAAUCACAUGUGUGGCAUGAAAGAGUUAUUUUCAGAAAUGGAUACAAGUUAUUCCGGGAACAUUACAUUUGGUGAUUUGUCUCAAAGACCAGCAAGAGGCAAAGGUAAAAUUCUCCUUGAACUUAAUAAUGGCAAGGAAUUAUGCAUUUCAGAUGUUUAUUAUGUUCUUGAUAUGAAAAAUAAUAUUCUAAGCUUGGGACAAUUACUUGAAAAAGGUUAUGAUGUUGAGAUGAAAGAUAUGACUCUCUUAAUUCGUGACAAGAAUAAAACAUUAAUAUCAUAUGUGAAAAUGACAAAGAAUAGAAUGUUUCCUCUACAUUUAAGUAUUUUUGAUCAAUCAAAUUGUUUUAAAGCUGAUAUUGAGGAUAUUUCUAUAUUUUGACAUCUUAGAUAUGCUCACUUAAAUUUUGAGGCUUUGAAACUUGUAGAGAAGUAUAAUAUGGUGAUAGGAAUGCCAAAAAUUGAUCGCCCAACAAAAUUGUGUGAAGUGUGUGUCAUGAGUAAGCAAGAAAGAAAACCUUUCAAAGUGAGGACAAAAAGAGCAUGAAAUUGACUUGAUCUGGUGCACUCAGAUGUUUGUGGCCCUAUCAAUCCAGUAUCACUUGGAGGAAGCAGGUAUUUUCUUACCUUCACUGAUGAUCAUAGUGGAAAAACUUGGGUUUAUAUGUUAAAAGAAAAGAAAGAAGUUUUAAGUAAAUUCAAAGAAUUUAAGGAUUUGGUUAAAAGACAAAGUUGUUGUAAGAUUAAAUGUUUAAGAACAGAUAGGGGUGGUGAAUAUAUAUCAAAUGAAUUUGAAAGUUUUUGUAGAAAUCAUGAAAUUUUAUAUCAAUUCAUCAUGCCAUAUACACCUCAACAAAAUGGUGUCUCAAAAAGGAAAAAUAGGACUAUCCUUAAUAUGGUCCGAUGCAUGUUAAAGGAAAGAAAAAUUCCUAAAGAAUUUUGGGGUGAUGUUGUUGCUUGUGCAGUUUAUUUGCUUAACAGGUUUCCGACAAAGCGGAUUAGUAAUGUGACACCAGAAGAAGCAUGGAGCUUACAAAAACCAAGAGUUGAUCAUUUGAAGAUUUUUGGAAGUGUUACAUUUGCUAAGAUACUAGAAGAAAAGAGAACAAAAUUGGAGGAUAAAAGUCAGAAAUGCAUUUUGCUAGGUUAUCCAGAGAAUUCCAGUGGUUACAAACUCUACAAUCCUAUUACAAAUAAAGUUGUGAUGUCAAGAGAUGUUGAGUUUGAUAAACAACAGAUUUGGAACUGGAAAAGUGAUGAGUAGCAUAAGAAAGCUAUAGUUGAAGAAGAAGAUAUAAUACAAGCAAGCACCGAAAUAGCUUUGCCGGAAUCAUUACCUAGAUCAGUUAGGUCGCAUGAUUCAAGAAGUCCAAUUAUAAGAAGGACAAGACCAAUUCAAGAGUUAUAUGAUGUGACUCGAAGGAUUGAUACUAACAAUGAUGAACUUUCUUUAUUUUGUCUUUUUGCAAGAUAUGAUCCAUUAACCUUCGAAGAAGCUUAUAGAGAUAAAAAAUGGCGACAAGCUAUGAAUGAAGAGACUCAUGUCAUUAACAAAAAUAAUACAUGGGAGCUUACUACACUUCCAGAAGACCACCAAGCUAUCGGUGUUAAGUGGAUCUUCAAAACAAAAAGAAAAACAAAAGGAGAGGCGGAGAAAUACAAGGCUAGAUUGGUUACGAAGGGAUAUAAACAACAAUAUGGGAUUGAUUAUGAAGAAGUAUUUGCGCCAGUUGCUUGAUUGGAGACAGUAAGAUUAUUUAUCUCUCUAGCAGCUCAAAUGAAAUGAAAAAUUUUACAAAUGGAUGUCAAAUCAACAUUUCUUAAUGGAGUUCUUAAAGAAGAAGUAUAUAUAUUCAACAACCCCUGGUUUUAUUAUUCAUGAAUAAGAAGACAAAGUAUACAAGUUAAAGAGAGCUCUUUUUGGGCUUGAACAAGCCCCACGAGCAUGGAAUUCUCGAAUAUAUGCUUAUUUUAUUCAAAAUAUUUUUUCUAAAUGUUCACAUGAACAUGCUCUCUAUACAAAAUCUAACUCUAAUGGAGAUAUCUUGUUUGUAUGCCUGUAUAUAGAUGAUUUAAUAUUUACAGGCAAUAGUAGCUCUAUGAUUAAAGAUUUUAAGCAUUUUAUGAAAAAGGAGUUUGAGAUGACCGACUUGGGCAUAAUGACUUAUUUCCUUGGUAUUGAAGUUAUACAAGAUAAUGGAGGAAUUUUUAUCUCACAAGAAAAUUAUGCAAAGGAGAUUUGAAAGAAGUUUUCUAUGGAAGAUUGUCAUCCUACAGAUACACCUGUUGAAUAUGGCACUAAGUUGACUAAGGAAGGUGAAGGUAAAUACAUUAAUCCAACUUAUUAUAAAAGUCUAGUUGGAUGUUUAAGGUAUUUGACAUGCACUCGACCUGAUAUACUAUUUGGAAUUGAUUUAAUAAGUAGAUAUAUAGAAGUUCCUAAGACAUCUCAUUUAAAUAUAGCUAAAAGAAUUUUACGAUAUAUUAAAAGAAUAAUUGAGUAUAGAAUGUUCUAUUUAUUAUCUAAAAGGUUAGAGCUUAUUGGAUAUAGUGACAGUGAUUGGACCGGAAGCUACGAUGAUCGGAAGAGUACAACUGGAUUUGUAUUUUAUUUUGGUGAAGCUAUAUUCACUUGGUCUCCACGCCGGCAGCUGCCCCUCGGUCUAGCAGUGGCCCAAGGUGUGUUGCCAAGGUGUUCGUUAUCGGUCUUGCUGUGUUUUCCUUUGCUGCAGUGUCUGUCUGGUGGCCUUGUUAGGCAGUAGUUGUAGUAGCGGUGGGUGCCAAUGUGAGGAACAAUCAAGAAAGAAAUGUUCAUCUUAACGGGGCUGAUGUGGUAAAUCUUGCUCUGUAAUUAGAAUAAUGACUUAAGUUGGUAAUGUCAAAUUUUCUCCUACUGAAUGCUGGUUGGUAAUCUUGACGUAGAAUAUGAGAUAAGAGUGUUUAGUCAUAAUGAUAGCGUCCAACACACACACCCGAGAGAGAGAGAGAGAGAGAGAGAGAGAGAGAGGGGGCAGCUGUGGGAAUAUAAACGUACAACGCGAACGCAGUGUUCACCUGAAUACGAUGAAGAUGUCACAAGGCAAUUCUAAUCAUCCCGCCACAGCGGUUCUUCCGGCCGUUCCACCGCCACUCCACCUGUAGAGGUCGCGGUGAUGGUGCCUGCAACGGAAGGAUCGGGGAUGGUCCGUCGGAGAGCAGAUGCACCGCUUCGCCGACAGAGGCCGCGACGAAGCCGCCUCCGUUGCUGCCGUCGGCGGCGUAUGGCCCCGCUGCCGCCCCACGGCGUAGCUGCAGGAAACCAGGGGAUGACACAUACCUCGCUGCCGGUGGCGGUGCACGAGAAGGAGAAAGAGAGAGAAUGGAAGUUGUGG
Molecule: long non-coding RNA, 5550 nt
Filed under: Musa acuminata (dwarf banana)
Lineage: Eukaryota; Viridiplantae; Streptophyta; Magnoliopsida; Zingiberales; Musaceae
Description: long non-coding RNA (MACU_LNC004523)
Source: RNAcentral